Molecule: ribosomal RNA, 440 nt
Filed under: uncultured bacterium
Lineage: Bacteria
Description: partial 16S ribosomal RNA
Rfam family: Bacterial small subunit ribosomal RNA
Source: RNAcentral
CCUACGGGUGGCAGCAGUGGGGGAUAUUGCACAAUGGGGGGAACCCUGAUGCAGCGACGCCGCGUGGGUGAAGGAGCGUUUCGGCGCGUAAAGCCCUAUCGGCAGGGAAGAAGAUGACGGUACCUGACCAAGAAGCCACGGCUAACUACGUGCCAGCAGCCGCAGUAAUACUAAGGGGGCAAGCUUUAUCCGGAAUUACUGGGGUGUAAGGGAGCGUAAGCGGCAAGGCAAGGCCGGAGUGAAAACUCGUGGCUUCACCCUGGGGAUGGUCUGGAAACUGGAAAACUAGAGUGCGGGAGGGGGAAGCGGAAUUCCUUGGGGAGCGGUGAAAGGCGGAGAUAUUAGGAAGAACCACAGGGGCGAAGGGGGGCUUCUGGGCCGAUAAUGACGUUGGAGCUUGGAAGGGGUGGGGGCAAACAGGAUUAGAUAUCCCAGUAGUC